Long non-coding RNA from Amphiprion ocellaris (clown anemonefish), 1254 nucleotides. RefSeq lists it as uncharacterized. The record is from RefSeq and is a predicted model, not a curated record. Lineage: Eukaryota; Metazoa; Chordata; Actinopteri; Pomacentridae. The transcript is spliced from 4 exons.
GCUGGUCCUUCCUCUUCCAACAUGACUGUGCACCAGUGCACAAAGCAAGGUCCAUAAAGACAUGGAUGACAGAGUCUGGUGUGGAUGAACUUGACUGGCCUGCACAGAGUCCUGACCUCAACCCCAUAGAACACCUUUGGGAUGAAUUAGAGCAGAGACUGAGAGCCAGACCUUCUGGUCCAACAUCAGUGUGUGACCUCACAAAUGCGCUUCUGGAAGAAUGGUCAAAAAUUCCCAUAAACACACUCCUAAACCUUGUGGACAGCCUUCCCAGAAGAGUUGAAGCUGUUCUAGCUGCAAAGGGUGGACCCACGUCAUAUUGAACCCUAUGGAUUAGGAACGGGAUGUCACUUAUGUUCAUAUGAGAGUCAAGGCAGAGUUUCCCUGAACGCCUCCCAUGCAGCUCCAGUAGAAGCUGCUAGUCGUCUGAGCUCAGAGAAGCUUCUAGUCUCCAUCAGUUACUGCAGCAGAGGGAAAUAGAGUUUUAAUGUCAGAUUUAGCUGAAACCAGACCUCCAUCCACGUCUAAACUCCUGAACUUUGAGGGUUUGUGGACCAGACAGAACCUCCAGCUUCUGAAACGUUCUCGUUCCCACGGACUAAAACCAGUGAUCACAGGAACAGAAGCAGCUUCAUGCCUUCGUCCAUCCGGCCUCCGUUGACUCGUCCCGCCUGCCGUCUCUGGAGCUGAAGCUGGAUUGGAACAGACCAAAGUACAGUCCAAUCACGAUGCCAGCUGCCUCUCAAAAGGCUCCUUCAUCUGGCAGGUGGCAGCACUUCUUCUGAAGGGAAGCUGAGCUGGCCCAGCAGAACUUUGGAGAUGUGUUCCAGUGGUUGGUGGAUGUGUGGGGAGAUAGAGAGGGACCUUUGAAUUGUUCACAAAGGAAAACAGGAACCCGUUGGUAGUUUUAGUUUAGGAUGCUACUGCGGUGUGUUUUUGGGUUUUAAGAGGUGAACAGGAAGAGGUUUUUUUCGUAUUGAUUAUCUUUUACUUUGUUCCUGGUUGGAAUGUCCAUCAAUGUCAACAUGAAGUUCACUUUUAGUUCUGUUUAUUUAUUUUUAUUUUACUAACACCCAUUUGUUUUUAACCCCCUCACAUGUUGUGUUGUUGUAAACUUACUCUUUCAAAUAAAUACUGGUCUAACCCUCUGGAAACCAGCGUUUGGACUGUUUUUGUGUUGCUCCUCACCUCCUUCAGACAGCCGGGAUAAAACAACGUUUUGUGGACUAAAGGCUUUUCUAUGACCUUUUUAGA